CCUCUCUCUCUCAAGAGUCUCGCCGUUCGCCUCUCGGGCUCAGACCCGCAAUCUCCAGCACGUUGCCUCCAUCUCCGUUGUCACCUUCAGGAGCCACUUUCUCUCCGUCGCUCCCAAUAGCCUCCGCCGAUGGCAUCCCGCGCUCAGAUCCGAUGCCUCCGCCACGUCGCCUCCGCCGCUGCCACCACCUCCAGGAACCACUUCCUCUCUCUCUUGCCCUAAAGCGCCCUCGCCUGUCUCAUCCCGAGCUCAUAUCCUUUCCAUCAUCUCUACCCUUGGCUUUGCUGCGAGAGAAGGAACGCCAAUGGAGUCCGUGUCGAUCCGUUCUUGCUCGUCCCCUCUGCCCGCGGAAGCGGGAGACCUCUGUGGCCUGAGAUCGUCGUCGACCGCUGCGACGAGG
RNAcentral lists this long non-coding RNA (400 nucleotides) under Eucalyptus grandis. RNAcentral's name for it is "long non-coding RNA (EGRA_LNC007170)". The record is from RNAcentral. Lineage: Eukaryota; Viridiplantae; Streptophyta; Magnoliopsida; Myrtales; Myrtaceae.